UAAGCGGUGUAUUAAAUCGUGUGGCUUAACCAUACAGAUGUACACCGAACUGAGUAGCUAGAGUAUAGGAGAGGUCACUGGAAUUUCUUGUGUAGGAGUGAAAUCCGUAGAUAUAAGAAGGAACACCGAUGGCGUAGGCAGGUGACUGGCCUAUUACUGACGCUGAGGCACGAAAGCGUGGGGAGCGAACGGGAUUAGAUACCCCGGUAGUCCACGCCGUAAACGAUGGAUGCUA
RNAcentral lists this ribosomal RNA (235 nucleotides) under uncultured Candidatus Saccharibacteria bacterium. RNAcentral's name for it is "partial 16S ribosomal RNA". It matches the Rfam family "Bacterial small subunit ribosomal RNA", at positions 584 to 818 of the family's 1533-position model. Lineage: Bacteria; Candidatus Saccharimonadota. The record is from RNAcentral.